Mizuhopecten yessoensis (Yesso scallop) is the source of this 67-nucleotide non-coding RNA. NCBI's taxonomy places the organism in Eukaryota, Metazoa, Mollusca, Bivalvia, Pectinida, Pectinidae. The record is from the annotation of a RefSeq genome assembly.
CAGGUAAGUCCAUAAAUGGGAAGAAGGUUUCGGCCCUUCUUGUUGGAGAAGCCCUCCUCUUACCUGU